CGCUGGCGGCGUGCCUAAUACAUGCAAGUCGAACGGUCUUUCUAUGGAAGCUUGCUUCCACUGAGAAGAUAGUGGCGAACGGGUGAGUAACACGUGGGUAACCUGCCCAUAAGAGGGGGAUAACAUCCGGAAACGGGUGCUAAUACCGCAUAGUUUUCUUGAUCGCAUGAUCAGGAAAGGAAAGACGGCCUUUGUGCUGUCGCUUAUGGAUGGACCCGCGGCGUAUUAGUUAGUUGGUGGGGUAACGGCUCACCAAGACGAUGAUACGUAGCCGACCUGAGAGGGUGAUCGGCCACAUUGGGACUGAGACACGGCCCAAACUCCUACGGGAGGCAGCAGUAGGGAAUCUUCCGCAAUGGACGAAAGUCUGACGGAGCAACGCCGCGUGAGUGAAGAAAGGUUUUCGGAUCGUAAAACUCUGUUGUCAGAGAAGAACAAGUCGGAGAGUAACUGCUCCGGCCUUGACGGUAUCUGACCAGAAAGCCACGGCUAACUACGUGCCAGCAGCAGC
RNAcentral lists this ribosomal RNA (511 nucleotides) under uncultured bacterium. Its description in RNAcentral is "bacterial SSU rRNA". It matches the Rfam family "Bacterial small subunit ribosomal RNA", at positions 34 to 518 of the family's 1533-position model. The record is from RNAcentral.